RNAcentral lists this long non-coding RNA (340 nucleotides) under Theobroma cacao (cacao). Its description in RNAcentral is "long non-coding RNA (TCAC_LNC002129)". The record is from RNAcentral. Lineage: Eukaryota; Viridiplantae; Streptophyta; Magnoliopsida; Malvales; Malvaceae.
CGAAAUUAGUACUCCUACUAGAGGUAAAUUAAGCGGUCUGAUGUUGAUCCAAACCUACUAGAGGGAUAUUAAGAGGUCUGAUGUUGACCCAAACCUACUGGUUGAUCCAAACGGCUGAGCUCAACCGCAAUCACCAUUCACCACUGCCCAUCAUUCUCCUCUUUCCACAUCUCAACCCAAUUGCGUUGAGCUUCUUCCAAUCCCAUAAUAGAACCCCUCCUCUCUGGGUCCCAACUCGCAGACAAAGUGCCGUAAGCGAUCCCAAGAGUUGAUGCCCCGAAAGUUAUGAAUGUAGUCAAGAAUGGCAGCCAUAGUGGCACAUCCCACAAAUUUUGGUCUU